Molecule: ribosomal RNA, 250 nt
Filed under: uncultured bacterium
Lineage: Bacteria
Description: partial 16S ribosomal RNA
Rfam family: Bacterial small subunit ribosomal RNA
Source: RNAcentral
ACGUAGGUGGCGAGCGUUGUCCGGAAUUAUUGGGCGUAAAGAGCAUGUAGGCGGUUUUUUAAGUCUGGAGUGAAAAUGCGGGGCUUAACCCCGUAUGGCUCUGGAUACUGGAAGACUUGAGUGCAGGAGAGGAAAGGGGAAUUCCCAGUGUAGCGGUGAAAUGCGUAGAUAUUGGGAGGAACACCAGUGGCGAAGGCGCCUUUCUGGACUGUGUCUGACGCUGAGAUGCGAAAGCCAGGGUAGCGAACGG